This 65-nucleotide transfer RNA is filed under the name Platygaster sp. ZJUH_2016026. RNAcentral's name for it is "tRNA-Leu". Lineage: Eukaryota; Metazoa; Arthropoda; Insecta; Hymenoptera; Platygastridae. The record is from RNAcentral.
CUUAAUAGAGUACUCAUACAAAUAAAUUUAGAUUUUAUUUAAAAAUUAAAAUAAUUUUAUUAAGA